Molecule: non-coding RNA, 46 nt
Organism: Trichobilharzia regenti
Lineage: Eukaryota; Metazoa; Platyhelminthes; Trematoda; Strigeidida; Schistosomatidae
Source: Rfam
GUACUGCUGAAGAGUCCCAAACUAGAACAAAACAGAUGUCCAGUAC